UGGCUCAGUUGGUAGAGCACGGUGUUUGCAACGCCAGGGUUGUGGGUUCAAUUCCCAC
Molecule: transfer RNA, 58 nt
Filed under: Salmo salar (Atlantic salmon)
Lineage: Eukaryota; Metazoa; Chordata; Actinopteri; Salmoniformes; Salmonidae
Rfam family: tRNA
About the family: Transfer RNA (tRNA) molecules are approximately 80 nucleotides in length.
Source: Rfam by way of RNAcentral